Molecule: ribosomal RNA, 590 nt
Filed under: Colletotrichum gloeosporioides
Lineage: Eukaryota; Fungi; Ascomycota; Sordariomycetes; Glomerellales; Glomerellaceae
Description: eukaryotic LSU rRNA
Rfam family: 5.8S ribosomal RNA (bases 217-370)
Source: RNAcentral
UGAUUAAGGCUCUCGAUUGGUGACCAGCGGAGGGAUCAUUAUCGAGUUACCGCUCCUUAUAACCCUUUGUGAACAUACCCCAAACGUUGCCUCGGCGGGCAGCCGGAGCCCAGCUCCGUCGCCCGGAGCCGCCGUCUCGGCGCGCCCCACCCGCCGGCGGACCACCAAACUCUAUUUAAACGACGUCUCUUCUGAGUGGCACAAGCAAAUAAUCAAAACUUUUAACAACGGAUCUCUUGGUUCUGGCAUCGAUGAAGAACGCAGCGAAAUGCGAUAAGUAAUGUGAAUUGCAGAAUUCAGUGAAUCAUCGAAUCUUUGAACGCACAUUGCGCCCGCCAGCAUUCUGGCGGGCAUGCCUGUUCGAGCGUCAUUUCAACCCUCAAGCACCGCUUGGCGUUGGGGCCCUACGGCUUCCGUAGGCCCCGAAAUACAGUGGCGGACCCUCCCGGAGCCUCCUUUGCGUAGUAACAUACCACCUCGCACUGGGAUCCGGAGGGACUCCUGCCGUAAAACACCCCAAUUUUCCAAAGGUUGACCUCGGAUCAGGUAGGAAUACCCGCUGAACUUAAGCAUAUCAUAAGCCGGAGGAA